AUUCGGAGGGUGCAAGCGUUAAUCGGAAUUACUGGGCGUAAAGCGUACGUAGGCGGUUAGUUAAGUUAGAUGUGAAAGCCCCGGGCUCAACCUGGGAACUGCAUUUAAAACUGGCUAACUAGAGUUAAGUAGAGGGGAGUGGAAUUUCAGGUGUAGCGGUGAAAUGCGUAGAGAUCUGAAGGAACACCAGUGGCGAAGGCGACUCCCUGGACUUGAACUGACGCUGAGGUACGAAAGCGUGGGUAGCAAACGGGAUUAGAUACCCUAGUAGUCC
RNAcentral lists this ribosomal RNA (274 nucleotides) under uncultured bacterium. RNAcentral describes it as "partial 16S ribosomal RNA". It matches the Rfam family "Bacterial small subunit ribosomal RNA", at positions 523 to 796 of the family's 1533-position model. The record is from RNAcentral.